AAUAAUUCUGGGAUUUGAGAGGA
This 23-nucleotide non-coding RNA is filed under the name Cricetulus griseus (Chinese hamster). Lineage: Eukaryota; Metazoa; Chordata; Mammalia; Rodentia; Cricetidae. The record is from RNAcentral.